RNAcentral lists this long non-coding RNA (818 nucleotides) under Homo sapiens (human). RNAcentral describes it as "HSALNT0385701". The record is from RNAcentral. Lineage: Eukaryota; Metazoa; Chordata; Mammalia; Primates; Hominidae.
UAAAUUCCAUUUAAACAGUUAUUUUUAAUUUUGUAUUCUUAUACAUUGUAUUAUUCCUUCUUUCUUUACCUGAUAUGAAACUGUCUUUUGUUUAACAAGAGAUUUUAAAAGUAGACAGUCAGGUUUUUAAAAAAUGUAUAGUUUCCUAACUUGAGCUCCAUCCCCCGCACCACACACAUACACAUUAGAAAAUAUGAGUGGUCCAUGAAAUCCCAAGCACUGGCCACUCAUGGUCUAACGAUGUGUCAAGAUGCCCAUGUUCAGAUGGAGAAGCUGAGAUUCUGAGAUUUAAAACAGGUCCAGGAAGGCGGGUGGAAAACUGUCAUCCCACAGCCUUGCUGCUUUUCCCCAGCCCCCACAACACCGUGGUGACUUAACAGUGGGGGGAGGAGGCAGGGAGCCUGGGAGCACCCUGCAGACUUCUGCCGGGGCAUGCCUCCUCCAAGUGAGUCACCCCGGCCUGGCACUCUGGGAGUAGCAUAACAGAAAUGCCAUCACCCAUGUUAGAAUCAGGCUGUGGCCCCUCCAGCUCUCUUCUUCCUUGACUUCCACGGGAUUCAGAUGGCAUCCAUAUCUUCAGCUCACAUUUUUAAGGUUCACGCUUUACUGCCCAAGAAGAUGGACCAGAGAUUUGAAGUUAAGCAGGCCUGGCCUGGCCACUUAACCAGCAGAAUCUCAGAUGUCAUGUUUUCCUGCCAUGGCAAGGCUAAGGGAAGUGCUCCACCAGGGGACAGCAGAAAGUAAGAUGAAGGCUGUGGACUCAAAUCUCAGGGUUUGAACUUCAAACGCACACCCCGCUCUCUUGGCUACUGACCUUG